GCCCCAGGCCAGGGAGGCACAGAGUCUAGGGGGCUGGGGACAGUCAGGGCAGGGGCCAGCACGGUCAGGCCAGGAGGCGAAAGGUCAGGCGUGGGCGGCAUCACGAGGGUGUGCACAGGUGCCUCAGGCCAGGCAUUUAAGCGUGCCCCGGGCAGGGUGAGACCUGGACCCAGUGGAGCAAUGAAACACUCACCUUCAUCCUGGCAUGCGACAGCCGUUUAGGAUGGCCCAUCUCACUUGCUCCUUUGCCAUGGUGCCCCAGGCCUUCCACAAGUCAGAAAUGUUCCUGGCUCUCCCACAGG
Molecule: long non-coding RNA, 302 nt
Filed under: Heterocephalus glaber (naked mole-rat)
Lineage: Eukaryota; Metazoa; Chordata; Mammalia; Rodentia; Bathyergidae
Description: lncRNA (ENSHGLG00100026296.2)
Source: RNAcentral